Hyposmocoma kahamanoa is the source of this 1664-nucleotide long non-coding RNA. RefSeq lists it as uncharacterized. The record is from RefSeq and is a predicted model, not a curated record. The transcript is spliced from 4 exons. NCBI's taxonomy places the organism in Eukaryota, Metazoa, Arthropoda, Insecta, Lepidoptera, Cosmopterigidae.
CAAUAAGCAAAGAGAAGGUGUAAUUUAAAAAAUCUUUAUAAAUGUAUUGAUGGGUAUUUAUUUAAUAAAGCGAAGAGAGUAUGGGCAUUUUUUCACAAUUCCAUGUUUUGUGUAUCAAAUCGAGGCAUAACGAAAUAUGGCAACGGCAAUAUUAGCGGUUAUGACAUUUCUUGCGUUCAACGCUUACUUUCAAACCAUGUCUGGUCGACCUGACCCCAUUCGAACAACGGCAUCAUAACCACAUCAAAUUAAGGAUUGCCUGUACUAUGAGUACCAGAGCAACAGACUUUAAAGAAAUCUUUGGUACAACCCAGAACAACUAGGCCAGAACCAAUUUAGAAAAUUUAAUUUACAAAUUGGUCCUACCGUGAAUCAGGACCUCCCCUACAGUGUCAGCAGUUAAAACCGUUGGGACACUGAGGACGUCAAUUCGCUCAAAAAAGACUGAAACGAUGUUCAUAAUUCUUUUACUAACGAAAUCAAGAUACAUUUGUACAACAACCACAAAGACAACCACAUCUGCAACAACAAACACAACUACAACUACAACUACAACCACAACCACGACUACAACCAGAACUACAACUACCAGGAGCAGGAGGGGUAAAAAAACCAAGAAACCACCUAAGCGUUAUUUGCUAAAGAACCAGGUCGUCCUUCUAUCCGAAGCAGUUAAAUCUUUGAGGGAAAAAAGCGACGGAACCGAACAAACUAAAAUUACUUUUGUUGGUGACAAAAUAGUGCGUUUGAGGCAAGCGACAUAACCUAAAUAUUAGUGCAAGAACGCUGACAGGUUCUGCAAUAUACCACACACAUAAGUAUUUUAAUCAUAUCCUAGCCACCCACCAGCAUUAACUGCAUGAUAAAUCUUUAGGACUAUAUUAACUCCACGCUUGCAGCGGAAGCACGACAGGGCGCGACUUGCGCGGCAAGCUACUUAGAAGCGCAAAACAUGCUUAUUUUCGCUAGUGUUGCUUCUCGCGCAAGCCGCGCCCUCUUGUGCUAACGGUUUUGGAGAGGAUGUAGAUCGCAUUAAGACGAAAAAUUCAACAAGGAGUUAUUGGGGACUUAUUUUACGUGCUUCAAAUGCAUUAUGGCGGUGUAUUUAAGCUCAAUGAUAUUCGUAUUAUAUUUGCAACGAACAAUCUUAUUGGCAAACACUAUAAUGAUUGAACGUGGUGAAAAAUUAGCCAAUAACCGGAAGUUACUCGCGGAUUGUUGCCCAAGGUGCGCCAAAUGUACAGAUGAGGAAUGGUUCGUCGCAUGGGGAAGUUCUCAUUUUGUGCAACCCAAUGAACAAUUGAAGAUGAGUGCCCAUUUAGGCUGCCUUUUUCUCCAGAGAUGUGCGACUUAGCGAGGCUGUGUGCGAGGGAAAAAUCCACCAAUAGGAUUACUUGCUCACCUACGGUGGAAAAGGGUUAGCGAAGCUAAGUAUUUGUACAUACAAAAUAGCGAGAGAUGUGAUCGAGGGAUGCAAGCGAGGAAUAUGUGCAAAACGGUGUAGGAAACUAGAGUUACUGAAAGUAUGACACAGUUACUGAAAGUAUGACACUAACUGACACUGACACGUCGCCACCGCUCACUCCACCACACCCUAUCCCGCCCGCGCAUAGCUGAAAAGAGUCCGUAACACUUCCUCGCACCGCGCCCCUGCACUUCCUUUC